This 110-nucleotide microRNA precursor is filed under the name Bigelowiella natans CCMP2755. RNAcentral's name for it is "miRNA EPrBNAG00000013632". The record is from RNAcentral. Lineage: Eukaryota; Cercozoa; Chlorarachniophyceae.
UGAUGAUGAUGAUGACGAUGGUGAUAAUAAUGACGAUGGUGAUGAAUGAGGAAAUGGCUACUACCAACGAUUACGCAUCAUCGUGAUCAUGAUGAUCAUUCUCUUAUUAC